Molecule: long non-coding RNA, 1052 nt
Filed under: Coturnix japonica (Japanese quail)
Lineage: Eukaryota; Metazoa; Chordata; Aves; Galliformes; Phasianidae
Description: lncRNA (ENSCJPG00005006356.1)
Source: RNAcentral
AAUAAUUAGCAGUAAUUAGCACUCAACACUUCAGGGAGCAGGAGGAAAAAUAAAGAAAGAAGUACAAUGAAUUCAGUGGGGGGCAGGAGGAGCGCGUGAGGAUACUUGAUCUUCAUCCCCACAUCAGCUUUUCAGCUAGCCAGCCCCACAUCUGUUCUCCAGCCCCACAUCUACUCUUCAGCCCCACAUCCAGCUCUCCUUUCCCACAUCUGCUCUCCAGCCCCACACAGGCUCUCUAUCCCCUCAUCCAGCUCUCCAGCCCCACAUCGGCUCUCCAUUUUUCUUUCCAUCAGCUCUCCAGCCCCACAUCUGUUCUCCUGCCCCACAUCUGUUCUCCAGCCCCACAUCUACUCUUCAGCCCCACAUCCAGCUCUCCAUUCCCACAUCUGCUCUCCAGCCCCACACAGGCUCUCCAUCCCCUCAUCCAGCUCUCCAUCCCCACAUCAGCUCUCCAUCUUCCUUCCCAUUAGCUCUCCAGCCCCACAUCUGUUCUCCAGCCCCACAUCUAUUCUCCAGCCCCACAUCCAACUCUCCAUUCUCACAUCUGUUCUCCAGCCCCACAUCUGCUCUCUAUUCCUUCAUCUGCUCUUCAGCCCCACACAGGCUCUCCAUCCCCUCAUCCAGCUCUCCACCCCCACAUCAGCUCUCCAUCUUCUUUCCCAUCUGUUAUCCAACCCCACAUCUGUUCUCCAGCCCCACAUCCAACUCUCCAUUCUCACAUCUGUUCUCCAGCCCCACAUCUGCUCUCCAGCCCAACAUCCAGCUCUCCAGCCCCACAUAGGCUCUCUAUCCCCUCAUCCAGCUCUCCAUCCCCACAUCAGCUCUCCAUCUUCCUUCCCAUUAGCUCUCCAGCCCCACAUCUGUUCUCCAGCCCCACAUCUGUUCUCCAGCCCCACAUCUGCUCUCCAGCCCCACAUAGGCUCUCUAUCCCUUCAUCCAUCUCUCCAUCCCCACAUUCAGCUUCCAACACACAUCCACUGCUGGAAGGAGAUCCCCAUCCCACCAGGUCCCGUGAGCAUCACUGGGAUGUCACAUUCAUGAGCACAUACAGU